Molecule: long non-coding RNA, 113 nt
Organism: Syngnathus acus (greater pipefish)
Lineage: Eukaryota; Metazoa; Chordata; Actinopteri; Syngnathiformes; Syngnathidae
Exons: 3
Source: RefSeq, a predicted model, not a curated record
AAGCGACUUUCUGUCUAAAGCGGUUUGGUCAUGGACCCCAAUUUAUUUUUGUCGUAAAUACAUUUUCAAGUAGUAUUUCAAAUGGAUGAUAUAAGGACAUACAAAGCCAUCAC